Molecule: long non-coding RNA, 1707 nt
Filed under: Salmo salar (Atlantic salmon)
Lineage: Eukaryota; Metazoa; Chordata; Actinopteri; Salmoniformes; Salmonidae
Description: lncRNA (ENSSSAG00000114452.1)
Source: RNAcentral
GCCCAGUUGUCACUAAGUUAGAUUCAUUUGAUGUGUGUUUUUCAUUUGUAGGCAGAGUUUCAUUUUGAGCAGGGACUAGAUGAUUUUGGUGUGGUUUGGGGAAAUUGGCUAACUAUUUUCUGUUUAGAGUUUUGAGUACCUGAGAUGUAGUUUCAGCGAAAGUGUGUUACCAAUUGGGAAAAACUGUAAUACUACUGGGAUUUAGAGAGAGAGAGAGAGAGAGUGUGUGAACUACUUGCAUGUCUAUCUACUGUGUGUGACUGUGUGUGUAUAUGAGAGGGGCAAAAUAUUGUGUGUGUGAGUGUGUGUGGCAAAGUGUGUGUGAUGUCUAUCUGAAUGUUAUGUGUGUAUUUGAGAGAGAGACUGAAUGUGUGGGUGAAUGUGUGUGUGUUUAUGUGUGUGUGUGUGUGGGGGGGGCAAAGUGUGUGUGAUGUCUAUCUGAAUGUUAUGUGUAUAUUUGAGAGAGAGGCUUAGUGUGUGUGUGUGUGUGUGUGUGGUGGUGGAGAAGCCAAGAGGGAUGCUAUCACUGGGCUUAAAGAGAAGAACUCUUCCAUUGCUGGGCAACCUUCAACCUCCCUUCACAUUAGUUAUGUAGGAGAACCCAAGCAGUGGGGGAGGAAGAUGACAGAACAUACAGAUAGGGGAGGAAGAUGACAGAUAGGGGAGGAAGAUGACAGAACACACAGAUAGGGGAGGAAGAUGACAGAUAGGGGAGGAAGAUGACAGAACAUACAGAUAGGGGAGGAAGAUGACAGAACAUACAGAUAGGGGAGGAAGAUGACAGAAUUUACAGAUAGGGAGGAAGAUGACAGAACAUACAGAUAGGGGAGGAAGAUGACAGAACAUACAGAUAGGGGAGGAAGAUGACAGAACAUACAGAUAGGGGAGGAAGAUGACAGAACGUACAGAUGGGGAGGAAGAUGACAGAACACACAGAUAGGGGAGGAAGAUGACAGAACACACAGAUAGGGGAGGAAGAUGACAGAACACACAGAUAGGGUAGGAAGAUGACAGAACACACAGAUAGGGGAGGAAGAUGACAGAAUAUACAGAUAGGGGAGGAAGAUGACAGAAUUUACAGAUAGGGGAGUAAGAUGACAGAAUUUACAGAUAGGGGAGUAAGAUGACAGAACAUGCAGAUAGGGGAGGAAGAUGACAGAACUUACAGAUAGGGGAGGAAGAUGACAGAAUAUACAGAUAGGGGAGGAAGAUGACAGAUAGGGGAGGAAGAUGACAGAUAGGGGAGGAAGAUGACAGAACAUACAGAUAGGAGAGGAAGAUGACAGAACAUACAGAUAGGAGAGGAAGAUGACAGAAUAUACAGAUAGGGGAGGAAGAUGACAGAACGCACAGAUGGGGGAGGAAGAUGACAGAAUAUACAGAUAGGGGAGGAAGAUGACAGAAUAUACAGAUAGGGGAGGAAGAUGACAGAACAUACAGAUAGGGGAGGAAGAUGACAGAAUAUACAGAUGGGGAGGAAGAUGACAGAAUAUACAGAUAGGGGAGAAAGAUGACAGAACAUACAGAUAGGGGAGGAUGUGAGAGGGAGGGUGAAGAACAGUACCAUCCAUUGUCCUCUCUGGCUUUUCUCAAAGAAAUUCAUUUUAUAUUGAUAAAAUGCUUUAAAAGCAAUGCAUAAACAUAAAUCCAACAACGUAGUCUAAAACAUACUGUACGUACAUUUCCAUCGCUAUAAUACACAAGACA